CGGAUAAUCUAUUUGUAACAAUUUCAGUAAAUCAUCCGAAACAUGGUGAAUAUUUCUCAGCUUCAUUGAUGGCCAAAAGAGUAUCAUCCUCCACACAUACUGAUCUAGAUUUAUUCUUCUGGCUAAUGCCUCACAAGAUUGCUUUAGGGAUAUAUUGGCAGGCUCUUAAGCUUUGGUGGAAGGGUGUUCCUUUCUUGCAACAUCCAAGGUACUACAAUCCUAGAUACAGAGAAGAGGCCAUACUAUCUGAUGAGAAGCUUCAAUGUUGUCCGGCGUUUGUAUUUGAGACACAGAACAAUCAACAGGCUGGAGAACACUGUUCCAAUCCUGCAGAUCACUCAACUUCAAGACAUCAUGGCUUCACUUGGAGGGAUGCAAAAUGGCCCUGGUGCUAAAAAGAAUGCAAAGAGUAGCUCAGCCUUUCGUAAAUAAAUGGCCCUCUUGACAAGAAAAUUAAGAAAAGAGAGUCUGGGUAAGUGUUUAUGUGAAACAAUUUAGAUUUUCAAUUUUCAUGAUAACCUUACAAAGUCAAGCUAGUACAUUAAUAGCAUGAGGAAAUUGUUGUACUGCUAUUUCUGGAAACACGAUAAGUAAAUUCCGAUUCAACUUAAAAAAUAGAGCAGAUCAACUAAAUUUGAGCUGAGAGGUCUGUAUUAACUAUUAAGGCUGCA
Molecule: long non-coding RNA, 671 nt
Organism: Solanum tuberosum (potato)
Lineage: Eukaryota; Viridiplantae; Streptophyta; Magnoliopsida; Solanales; Solanaceae
Exons: 3
Source: RefSeq, a predicted model, not a curated record